RNAcentral lists this ribosomal RNA (422 nucleotides) under Archaeognatha sp. NZAC 03013586. RNAcentral's name for it is "eukaryotic LSU rRNA". It matches the Rfam family "Eukaryotic large subunit ribosomal RNA", at positions 579 to 910 of the family's 3401-position model. Lineage: Eukaryota; Metazoa; Arthropoda; Insecta; Archaeognatha. The record is from RNAcentral.
GAUUUGCUCGGCCGCAAACAAAUGCCCCGCCAUUCUCUGCGGCGUUACUUCUGUCGGUGGUCCACCCGACCCGUCUUGAAACACGGACCAAGGAGUCUAACAUGUGCGCGAGUCGUAGGGUCUCUACACGAAACCCGAAGGCGCAAUGAAAGUGAAGGCCGUUCUUGUCGACGGCAGGGAUCGAAUUUUUAUAAUUCUUUCUCCAUUGAGGGGAGAUCUUCCGUUUCACAACAGGGCGGAAGCGCAUCCCCGGGACGUCUCGUACUCGCAUCGCGGGCUUCGUGCUCGCGUUCGAGUGAGGCGUACCUAGAGCGCACACGUUGGGACCCGAAAGAUGGUGAACUAUGCCUGGCUAGGACGAAGCCAGGGGAAACUCUGGUGGAGGUCCGAAGCGAUUCUGACGUGCAAAUCGAUCGUCAAAA